GAGGGUAUAGUUCAAGUGGUAGAGUGCCUGCUUAGCAUGCACAAGGUCCUGGGUUCAAUCCCCAGUAUCUCCU
This 73-nucleotide transfer RNA is filed under the name Camelus bactrianus (Bactrian camel). It matches the Rfam family "tRNA". From Rfam's summary of the family: Transfer RNA (tRNA) molecules are approximately 80 nucleotides in length. Their secondary structure includes four short double-helical elements and three loops (D, anti-codon, and T loops). Lineage: Eukaryota; Metazoa; Chordata; Mammalia; Artiodactyla; Camelidae. The record is from Rfam by way of RNAcentral. RNAcentral also lists the same sequence under 2 other names.